AACGAACGCUGGCGGCAUGCCUAACACAUGCAAGUCGAACGAGACCUUCGGGUCUAGUGGCGCACGGGUGCGUAACGCGUGGGAACCUGCCCUUAGGUUCGGAAUAACUCCUCGAAAGGGGUGCUAAUACCGGAUAAUGUCUUCGGACCAAAGAUUUAUCGCCUUUGGAUGGGCCCGCGUUGGAUUAGCUAGUUGGUAGGGUAAAAGCCUACCAAGGCGACGAUCCAUAGCUGGUCUGAGAGGAUGAUCAGCCACACUGGGACUGAGACACGGUCCAGACUCCUACGGGAGGCAGCAGUGGGGAAUAUUGGACAAUGGGCGAAAGCCUGAUCCAGCAAUGCCGCGUGAGUGAUGAAGGCCUUAGGGUUGUAAAGCUCUUUUACCCGGGAUGAUAAUGACAGUACCGGGAGAAUAAGCGCCGGCUAACUCCGUG
RNAcentral lists this ribosomal RNA (433 nucleotides) under uncultured bacterium. RNAcentral's name for it is "partial 16S ribosomal RNA". It matches the Rfam family "Bacterial small subunit ribosomal RNA", at positions 29 to 507 of the family's 1533-position model. The record is from RNAcentral.